CAGUCGCCGCGGGAAUACAGAGGGUGCGAGCGUUAAUCGGAUUUACUGGGCGUAAAGCGUGCGUAGGCGGCUUCUUAAGUCGGAUGUGAAAUCCCUGAGCUUAACUUAGGAAUUGCAUUCGAUACUGGGAAGCUAGAGUAUGGGAGAGGAUGGUAGAAUUCCAGGUGUAGAGGUGAAAUGCGUAGAGAUCUGGAGGAAUACCGAUGGCGAAGGCAGCCAUCUGGCCUAAUACUGACGCUGAGGUACGAAAGCAUGGGGAGCAAACAGGAUUAGAUACCCCAGUAGUCCCUGUCUCUUAUAC
RNAcentral lists this ribosomal RNA (301 nucleotides) under uncultured bacterium. Its description in RNAcentral is "partial 16S ribosomal RNA". It matches the Rfam family "Bacterial small subunit ribosomal RNA", at positions 509 to 807 of the family's 1533-position model. The record is from RNAcentral.